UGCUUCGUUGUAAUUAAAAAAAAUAACGUGAUGAAAUGUAGGGAUAUAAAUACGGGUAUGGAAGAAGGGUUGAAGGAAGGGUUGUUGCAAGGAAGAGGUUUGGGAGAGAGGGAGUGAAGAGAGUGCUGGAAGCGGCGCCAUGGAAGGAAGGAAGAAACAUGUGGACACUGAAUCGCAACCUGAAAGAAACAAACAAAGGGGUUUUCAUUCGACAUUCCAUGAUGUUUCUAUUUAGUUUUCAAUCUGAAUAUUCUUACCCACUUUCCUUGCUGCUCGCCUUCUCUCGCUCCCUUUCUCCACGCGCCACCGCUUGUACCCUUCGGCCUCGUGAUGAUAAUCUGAAGUAUUUUGCAGAAAAAUAGUCUCAAAGGGUGGAGUUACUAUGAAAAAAAGGAAAAGAGAGGUGUUUUUUUUUUGAAACUGUGAUCCACCAUUGCAGUUUGUUUACCACAACAUCUGGUGUCAUUGUGAUCUUGAAUGGAAGAGAACUGGAAAAAUUAUUGUACAUCAAAUGGUAUUUGAGUCUUGUUGAUAUUAGCCACCUUCCUUGUCUUGAUUAUUUGGUGAACAUGGGGUAAAGAAUAGUAUUUAUUAUGCAAGAGGGAAAUUUGGUCAUCUUGGGAAACUGCUAUCACUAUUAUCUGUGAAAAAGUUUGUUAAGUAAAGAACAUUUUAUAUCAA
Long non-coding RNA from Vigna angularis (adzuki bean), 681 nucleotides. RefSeq lists it as uncharacterized. Lineage: Eukaryota; Viridiplantae; Streptophyta; Magnoliopsida; Fabales; Fabaceae. The transcript is spliced from 2 exons. The record is from RefSeq and is a predicted model, not a curated record.